Molecule: unclassified non-coding RNA, 212 nt
Filed under: plant metagenome
Description: partial contains small subunit ribosomal RNA, internal transcribed spacer 1, and 5.8S ribosomal RNA
Source: RNAcentral
UCUCCGUUGGUGAACCAGCGGAGGGAUCAUUACAGGAUCGAAAGACUCCUAUAACCCCUGUGAACUUACUACAAAUACGUUGCUUCGGCGGGUGCCCCGGGUCUCCCGGGGCGUUCAGCCCGCCGGCAGCCUUCAAAUUCUGUUUCUUUGCGUUGGCAUCUCGAGUAUACAAAAAUAAGUUAAAACUUUCAACAACGGAUCUCUUGGCUCUG